AUGCAAGUCGAACGAAGUAGCAAUACUUAGUGGCAGACGGGUGAGUAACAUGUAGGUAUCUGCCCUUUGGCCUGGAAUAACACGAGGAAACUUGUGCUAAUACCGGAUAAGUCUUUACGGAGAAAGCUUUAUGCACCAUUGGAUGAGCCUGCACUUGAUUAGUUUGUUGGUGGGGUAAUGGCCUACCAAGACUGUGAUCAAUAGCUGAUUUGAGAGGAUGAUCAGCCACAUUGGGACUGAGACACGGCCCAAACUCCUACGGGAGGCAGCAGUGGGGAAUCUUGCACAAUGGAGGAAACUCUGAUGCAGCGAUGCCGCGUGAGUGAAGAAGGCCCUUGGGUUGUAAAGCUCUUUCGUCGGGGAAGAAAAUGACUGUACCCGAAUAAGAAGGUCCGGCUAACUUCGUGCCAGCAGCCGCGGUAAUACGAAGGGACCUAGCGUAGUUCGGAAUUACUGGGCUUAAAGAGUUCGUAGGUGGUUGAAAAAGUUAGUGGUGAAAUCCCAGAGCUUAACUCUGGAACUGCCAUUAAAACUUUUCAGCUAGAGUAUGAUAGAGGAAAGCAGA
RNAcentral lists this ribosomal RNA (565 nucleotides) under uncultured marine bacterium. RNAcentral's name for it is "bacterial SSU rRNA". It matches the Rfam family "Bacterial small subunit ribosomal RNA", at positions 55 to 665 of the family's 1533-position model. The record is from RNAcentral.